AUGAACAAUUGAUGAUAUUUUAUAUAUUGUUGUCCAUAAUUAUUAGGUCAAUGCCAGUACUGCAUAGGAGCCAGAAUAUAACAAACAGAAAGAUAUCAUAUAUUAUAUCGCUAUGUUGCAUUACAAAAAACAUGAUCCAAAGAUUACAGGAGGUUAAACUAUAUCUUGUAGUGGCCCAAUUCUUGACCUUGCAAUCAACUAUAAUGUUUGAAACAUUAAUCCUAAAAUUGGCAUUCUAAUUAUCUUGUAGUAGCUCCAAUUCUUAACCUUGCAAUCAACAUCUGAGCCAUGCAUCAUCAUUUUAUCUUGGUGACCUACAACAACAACAAUAUGAGAUGAGUAACUUAUAGUAGAGAAAAUCCGGCUAAUAGAGAAGUAAAAUUUAAAUGAGCACCAUAGAAAUGUCUGCACACGUUUUGAAUAUCCAUGGCUCAUUGAGAUAAGAAUCUGCAUAGCAAAACAGACACCUUUGAUGAAUCAGAUCUGGCUGUUCAUUAUGAAUAACUAUCAGCUUGUAUUUACUACUAAAAAUAUCCAGACAAUAUAUUAUAAUAACUACGAGAUGACUUCAGCAACUGAAUAAUGACAACCAAUAGUAUCAACUAUUGGUAAUUAGAACAUCUCCAUUGUCAAGAGGUCUGCACAUUACUCCCGUACUACUCAUCUUGGGAUGAUUCAUUAGUCAUUCUUUCUAUGGUGUAUAAGCAGAAAUCUCAUUGCCAACAACUUGAAAAUCUUUAAAUAAUCUGCAUCAUGCAAAAUUUCGUAAUUACCUGAAAAUUACAAAGUCACAAAUUAUAAUUUCCUGAUCCAUGAAUAAAAUUCUCAAAACCUGCAGAAGCAACAACACAAAAAAAGCAUCACCAUAUUCGGGAUAAUUUGAGUUAUCAACUGAUGGCUACAUGUUCUCUCCAAUAAGACAUGGCAAGAUGCAACCAAACUGAAAGCCUGAACAGAAAGAAAAGUAGAUCACCACCCUAUCUAAUCUAGUGCAGAACACUCUGUAUACUAUGUUAUCUCAUAGCUAGGAGAUUUCAUCUCAACUCUAGCCAAAUUUAGGCAAACGAUGAUACAUCUAAACUAUUUUCGAUAACCAAGGCAAUGCCUAUGUAAUACUGAAUGCUUAAACCAAGCCAUGUGACACACAUAGUGCCCAAAUAGCAUGCAACAUCAAGGGUAUUGUUACGUACCGGCUUAUUACCCC
Molecule: long non-coding RNA, 1204 nt
Filed under: Triticum aestivum (bread wheat)
Lineage: Eukaryota; Viridiplantae; Streptophyta; Magnoliopsida; Poales; Poaceae
Description: long non-coding RNA (TAES_LNC020052)
Source: RNAcentral